This is an RNA transcript of Homo sapiens (human), 5977 nucleotides long. It is a transcript of the gene named proline rich and Gla domain 3, with no coding region annotated. The transcript has 4 exons. Lineage: Eukaryota; Metazoa; Chordata; Mammalia; Primates; Hominidae. The record is from RefSeq and is marked validated.
UAGUUGUGAAUUCUGGUCCUGCCACUGUCACUGUUGAUUUGCUUAACCUUGUCUGAGCCCGUCUCUCUGGGCUGUAUCUCCUCAUCUAUCUCUGAGGUCCUUUCCAAUUGGAAGUUGCAAAGAUUCAUUGAGGGGAGCAAGGAAGGAGGAGCCUCAGCCUUUAGGAGCUUUCCUUUUUAAAAGAAAAAGGUCAACCCUUGGUUCUUAUAGAUGCUCAGAACAUGUUCUUGGGGGAAAACGCUGAAAGGUUUGCUUUGGGCCCUACUGGGCCUGGGGAGGUCUCUGGAGAAGAGCUUGGGGCAGAAUGAGAAGCAGCGGAAGCCAUGGGUGGCUGCAUGGAGGACGACGCACCCCACAAGAGAAGUGAGACCCUGCAGCUGAGGGAGCAUCAUGGCAGUGUUUCUGGAGGCCAAGGAUGCCCAUUCGGUCCUGAAACGAUUCCCUCGUGCCAAUGAGUUCCUGGAGGAGCUGCGCCAGGGCACCAUCGAGCGAGAGUGCAUGGAGGAGAUCUGCAGCUACGAGGAGGUCAAGGAAGUGUUUGAGAACAAAGAGAAAACGAUGGAGUUCUGGAAAGGGUACCCAAAUGCAGUCUACUCUGUCCGAGACCCCUCGCAGAGCUCAGAUGCCAUGUAUGUGGUGGUACCCCUUCUGGGGGUGGCACUGCUGAUUGUCAUCGCCUUGUUCAUCAUCUGGAGGUGCCAGCUGCAGAAAGCGACCCGUCACCACCCCUCCUAUGCUCAGAACCGGUACCUAGCCAGUCGCGCCGGGCACACCCUCCCCCGGGUCAUGGUGUACCGGGGUACUGUGCAUAGCCAAGGGGAGCCUUCUGGGCACCGAGAGGCAGCGAACAGCCCCCAGGUGGUGCUGGGGCCCAGUCGGGGGGGCAGGACCACAGUCCGGCUAGAGAGCACCCUCUACCUCCCUGAGCUCUCUCUCUCCAGACUGUCCAGCACCACCCCUCCCCCCUCCUACGAGGAGGUGACUGCGCCCCAAGAGAGCAGCAGUGAGGAGGCCAGCGUGUCUUACAGUGACCCACCCCCAAAGUACGAGGAGAUAGUGGCCGCCAACCCUGGCGCUGACAAGUAGUGGGACGUUUGUGCCCUGUCCUGGAUGAACGCCUCUUUCCGAGGUCUCCUAUUUUCUUUUUAACUUUUUAAAGACUGUGCCACCACAAAACAGCCUUAGCCUCCUUGUUGCCAAAUAAUUCCCUAACUGUGGAGUUUUAGGAAGUCAGUUGUCAGAGACAGGUGGGGAGGGUGGGGGUAGGGACCACGCAUGAGUCGAAGCCCCCGGGAAGAGCCAAAGGCCAAAGUGCCCAACUCUUUGGGAUGACCCCCAAGCCUCCAACAUCCUGUCUUUCCAUCAGGAACUGGCUUCUCUUAUGCCAAAGGAAUAACCCCAUUGAGUUGAUUGUGGCCAGAAUGUCCACAGGCCUGGCCUGGGGGCUGUGGGACUGGCUGGAGGCCUGCCUGUGUCUAGAGCUCUGGGCCUCAGGGGUAAGGGAAGGAAGCCAGCCUUUCAGCACCCCUUACCCUCCACAGUUCUGUGAUUUCUGUCCUUGCUUACAUUUGGAGGACAGGGACAAGGACUGAGCAAAAACAAAAUGAAAAAAUCAUGACAAAUAAAUAAUUAACACAAUAGAACAAAACUCUAGCACCCGGGCCGUUCAUAGGAGGCCAAGGGAAAUUUAUCACAUGGAUCUGUGAUGUCCGCCUCCCCUAAAACCUGUCCCCACACUCCUGGAAGGAGGACAGGGUGUGUGAAGGAUGAGGGCCAGAGGGCUGGGUGGCAGAGUUUCCUCUUCCACAUUGACCAAGGGGCCCACGUGGACUCUGCCAUUCAGUUUCUAGUGUGCUUGUCUCUCCAGACAUGUGGACCAGCUGUGUUCAAACCACUACCCACUGGCAUGAGCCUACUUUUUGCGAAUGGUGCAUUGAAAUUGAACUUCAGAUUGAGGAUUUCUCCUUAACGAUGGUGCGCAUCUCAGGAGAAGAUCCUAAAGUGUCCCUUUUAAAACAUUUAUUUGUGGAGAAGCCCGUGGCCUGGGGUUGAAGGCCCAUAUGGGGUUUGCUCUGCUGUUGCCAGGUGCCAGUCUGUUUUCAGUGAGGCUUUGGACAGCAGUGGGGCAGAAGGCACCUGCCCUUUAACUGUCAGUGACCAUGCUAGACACUGUUGAUACCACCUCCCCCUACUUCCGUCUCCAUCCUCCUGACCUCAACACCAAACCAUUUCUCCUCUGUGGUGCUUUAAAAAUUGUAGCAAAUUUUUGUGUGGUGCAAGAAUGCAUGGCCUGCGUCUAUUGGCAACCACAGCAAUUUAAAAUCCACUGAGCUGACAAGCUUUUUUCUGUCAAAAUAUCUCUCUAAGGCAGACAUUGGGACUCAUUUCCUUGAAUGCAGCCCUGCCUUCAGGCCACAGAGGACUUCUGGAGGCUGCUCUAGCCCUGAGGACUUGCCCUGGGACGUGCUUCCAGUUAGAAGGCUUGUGUCCCUACCCCAGUGAGGCCACCAGCUUGGACCACUCCACCCUGUGGCUGGGGUUUUCCAUCCUUCCCCCUACCUCACAGGCCCGUUGGAGGCUGACUGAGCAAAUGCCUGCGAAGUGCUUGAAUUGCCGGGGAGCCAGCGAGGUUUGCCUUAGGAAGAGUCUUCUAGAAAGGUGUAGGUUAUAAGGGAGCAGUCUUAGCUGAGGCCCUCAUAUGCCUCUGAUGUUGAGUCUCCACUUGGAGAGUCAAUCUCCCGUCAGUUGACCCUUUCCAUCCUCUCGUCCUCCCUUUCCAGAGCUCCCUGAUGCCAGAGAUGCUGGUGAAUGCAGGUGACAUUCUACCUUUCGUUUCCUUGUCUUUCCCUCCCCUGGGCCUUCAGCAUUGCACUCCUGCCCUUCAUCACAAAGGGGUUUUUGGCUUAAGAGGCCCCUGCUUUUUCCAUGUUGGGGGACCUGGGGAAGCCUGAAGCUCGGGGCUAGCCCUGGCUCUCCCAGUAUUUCUUCAAGUAGGUGCCAGAGUGUGACCUGGGAGCAGGUGAGAAGAAACUUAUCCCAAUAUGUCUACUCAGUUAGCACAGAGCCAGGCAUGAGCUCCACUGAUCAGAGCCAAAGGGAGUUUGCCAAGAAAUGCCCGCUGCCUUUGGCAUCUGAGUUGCAGCUGGGUGGUAAUGGGAGAGAGCAGGAAGAGGCCCAAGGCCUGGCCCAUGGAGGGCAACAUGUGUCCUUCAGGGGCUGAGGACAGGCCGUGGGAAGAGUCACAGGAGGUUGCUUAAGGCCUGUGAUGUUCGGUUCAGAUGCUUCAUGGUGUUCUGCCAGGUGGGGUUGCACCACGGUCUCUGGGAUGGUUUCUGCAGCACAUUGUAGAAAAAAGACUGUACAGCACACAGCAGGCAUCACUCCUUGCGAUGCACACUUGGAUUUUAUGAAUGCCCUGUACAUAUCUUUUCAAACUCUGUGUUUGUAUGGAGGUGGAUUUGAUACAAUGCUGACUCUUUCGUGGCUACAUUUUUGCUGUUUUUGGACUUCUAUGUGUGUGUGUGUGUGUGUGUGUGUGUGUAUCUAUGUGUGCACGUUGCCUUUUCUCAUUGCUUAUCUGAAACAAUAGCCGGUGUGCAGCUAUAUUUGUACCAGGAGGGAUCCGGUCUGAAAAGAGGAAUGUCACCUCCCCUCGCAGGGCUGAGUAGCCUGAUGACAGGGCCCUGAGCAAGGAAACGUGGCAUUAACUAUAUUGGACACCCAACCCCCAAAGUUGUCACUGUUUGCCUCCUUGAAAAAGGCUUUGGAAGAAGACAAAGCAGCUCCAUUCUGCAGGUCUCCACCCUAUGCAACCCCCGCUCACACGCCCUUUUGGCAUGGUGCCCCUGGCCCAGGCUUCUGUUCUGUGGGUGUCAGCAGCUGAAAGAAAUCUGAGUACUCCUGGGCAUGGUUUUUUUUUUUUUUUUUUUUUUUUUUUUUUUUUUUUUUUUUUUUUUUUUUUUUUUUGUGUGUGUGUGUGUGUGUGUGUGUGUGUGUGUGUGUGUGUAUGGAAAGAUGUGUGACUAUUGACUUUGGGUAUCGCGGGACUAGUUAAUUAGAUGUUUUUCAUUUUUCAAAAAGAAAAGGUUUUAAAAAUUUUCUUGAAAUGUGACUGUCACUUGUUUUCAACCAAAAACUUUUUAAGAUUUUUUAAAAGAAAAAUCGAAAUCCUGUCCCUCCCCCGCUUCCCAUCGCCUCCGGUUUUCAAAAUGAAAGCACAAGUGCAAGAGUGGGGUGCACAGGUGCCUGGCGUGUACACACCACCCACACAGCUGCGUCCAGCCCUGGCUGAGGGAGACGCAGUGCUGAGCAGUCAGCCCCGGGAGGCCUCUUUUUCAACUUCCAAUCCCACUGCCAUGAAUGUGAAUUCCUUAGGGUGCUUCCAAAAACAGGAGUCUGCCUGAUCUGUUGGACAUUGCCUUUUUGGUAGCCCGAAUAUGAGGAAUUCAGGACAGGAAAGUGUCUUUUUGUCAAGUAGUCAGAGCCGGAUGCUUCCCCUCUCCCAGUGGGUGGAGCAUCGCAACCCCCAGCCAGAGUUGAUCUUUUGACAACCCAGUGACAUCCCAUGAGAAGGAAGAAAAAAAAUUCAACACUGCCUCUAGAUUGUUAUUUUGUCCAAGAGAGAGAUCAUGGAGAGAGUCUCUCUCGCUCACGGAGGCUCUGUCUUUCUAGGAGUAUGUGUGUGUGCUGUCUCAUGUGUGGACACUCACAGUUGAGGCUGAGAUGGAUAUCUUGGCAGCAGAGCUGCUGGUCUAGGUGGCUUUUCAGCUUGACAAGUAAUGAAGCUCCAUUUCAGGACUUCAUCGAUUCCGAAACAAGCACAGCCCCCCACCCCCCGCCACGGAACUCUACUAAUACUAAUCACUAUAAUUAGCUAAUUUAAAAGUACGGUAAUCAGACUGCUUGCAACUAUUUUAAAAGCCCAUUAAUUUGAAGCCCACUACUUCAGAACUUCGAGAAAAUCACAACUUAAGACAAUUCACAGUAGCUGUGAUUCUGGCUACAUAAAAAUAUUUGAAAUAUUCUUCCCUUUAGUCAAUGUUCAGGGUCUUUUGUGUAAGAGAAAUCCAGUUUAAAAUGAGUACCCUUUUCAAAGAAAAGGCUCAAGAUAUUAAGGAUCCCUUCACCGUGCCUUCAGCUUUGCAGUUCAGCACUUCUCGUAUGUACAGGGUGAUCUCUUGUUCUCUCUCCAUCACAGGGAUGUUGGAUAUUGCAGCCUUUCACUCUACUCCGUUAUUUAUCCUGUGAAUAACAUAGUUUGUGAACUAGACUGCAAUUUAAACUAAUACACAUGAUGUAUCUUUCUAAAUAUUCUGUAAAGCAGAUGCUUCGCUGUCAGACUGGCCGCUCCAUCAUUCGCCUCCAAAUAUUCAAACGUGGGAGCUUUUCCUUUCAGACUGUGGGCAGCGAGUCUCUCUCUAGCAAGAAUUUAUCUGACAAACAUACCCAAAUAGCACACCCUCUCAAGCUCAAUGCCUCAACAGUUGUUUCACUGUACUGAUAUCUGACUGCUGAACAGUGCCUGCCCUUCACCCACCCCCAGCCCGAGCAUUAACACAGAUCUUCAGGAUUGGGACAAAUCCCCCAGCUGCUUUUGCCUCUCAAUCCAUCUCCCCUCAUCGAUACCAAUUUCCCAGGCCUGAACACAUCUGUUAUUUUGCUCUGACAUUGUGAAUUUGUGACAGUGGAAACCCUGAUAUGUGCAACUGAGCUUAUAGAAAUAAUUACUGUGAAAUGGAUUAAUUUUGAUACCACUUUAAACUGUGCUUGUAUUCAUGUGUUGACCCUUGUCAGCUGGGAAAUCUGUACAUUCAGUAUAUGUCAGCAUUUCAUUGGAGCCUGGGGGCAACAGACAAACUUGCUUCUGAUUUCUCUCUCUCUCUCUUUCUUUUUAUAAUUGUUGAAUUUGGCUGUUACAUUUUGUCUCCUUCUUUACAAGAAAACAAUAAUAAUAAAGAGCAAAUGGCAUCCACUUGAA